UCGUCAACAUGUAUCAUACUAUAAUUGGACAUCCGAAUACCUAAUUUUACAUACACAUUCCCAUACACAUCGUCAUUCAUGAAAUCAUUUGUAAACCACCUCCACAACAUUCAAUUAUGCAAUUACCACAUACAUGAAUAACCACAUCAUAGGCGUAUAACAACCAUCAAUAUUGGUCAUCUCCAAAUAGCCUUAAUCAAAAAAAAAUUUAUUAAAUAAGGGCCAACAUUUUAGGCCAUAAGAAAUAUGACAUAUAUGACAAAACGACCAGGCCUACUAUACAUGCCAUAACCCAAAAAUUAAUGUAUCUAGAUAUACCAAGUGUUCCAAUUGACAGUGUGAGCGAAUCUCCGACAUCCACCGAUCCCCGAGCUAACUUGGCGAUACUAUAAGGCAAAGGAAAAGAGAGGGGAAGUAAGCAUAAAUGCUUAGUAAGUUCAUAUGAAAAUAAUAAGAAAUUAAUAAACUUGUGUGGACAAAUCCUCGCAAUAAUUUCUUAACAUGAUAUAAUCAUUAUAUCACAUGCUUACACCUUAUUACUAAUGUUCACAUUAAUCUGUCUACUUGAGUCACUGUCACUAAAUUAUUUAUUUCUCGAGCUACAGAGCUCCAAAUGAAGAACCGUUAAUUUUCCCUGAAACUAGACUUACAUAAUUUCUUACCAUAGAAAUUUUAGAAUUUUUGGUCUAGCCAAUUAAUACAGUUUAUUCAUUAAAAAUUCCCCUAUUUCACUGCUCGACAACUCUAACCCCUCUUCACUAAAAAUUAAUUAUCUUUUUUCACAGAACUCAAAUGAUGUCCCCGUUUGUUUCUCUUGAAAAUAGACUCAUUUAUAAAUUUAAGCAUAUGAAUCACAAACCAUAAUUAUUUUUGUACAAUUUUUAGUAAUUUUCCAAAUUUGGAACAGGGGAUUUCAAAUUCAUUCUGUCCCUGUCUCACUAGAAUUUAAAUAUUUCAAAAUAUAUAACUCUUUUGCUUACUAUGUUUCAUUUAUAUGAAAAUAGGCUCAUUCAAAUUUAAUUUCAUAUAUCAUACAACCUCUAAUUCAAUUCCCACCAUUUUUGGUGAUUUUUUAAACUCACACAAUUGUUUCUGUCCUAAACUGUUUUGUUGUUAAAUUUACUCGUUCUUAAUUUCAAUGCUUCAUUUCAUCGUGCCAAAGGGUUGAUUAAAGAUCGAACACGUUGUUCAUAACAUAUAUUUCCACUUAAUUAGUUUCCCGAUAAACACUUUGAAAUAAUCUCAAUUACACGAUGGAUCAGCACACAGCACCACCCUUAUAUAGUACUCGGUGUAAUCAGCACAUAGCAACCACCUUUAUACUCAAUGGUACCGGUUGAAUUCAGCACAUAGCAAUCACUUAUAUAACCAUUGGUAUCCGGUGAAAUCAGCACAUAGCAAUCACUUUUCAUAAAUAUCCGGUGGAAUCAGCACAUAGUAUCCACCUAUAUUUCCAACGAUAUCCGAUCCAUUCCGAAGGUUCAACCACAAAUUCUCAUUUUUUUUAAACAUUUUCCAACUCUUCCAUAUGUAACCGUAAUUCAUAAUUCACCUCAAGUAAUUAUUCCAUAUUCAAUCAUAUCUCAUAAAAAUGUUAAAACGUAAGCAAAAACAAGAAAUUAAUCACAUACAAACUUACUUGUUUGCAUCCUUAUCAAUAAUGCAUCAUAAUCUGAGCACAUUAUUUAUGAGUCUCAUACACAUACCUGUGCCUAGUCAUAAUACUCACAUAUCCUACUCUUACUUAUCUUGAGCAUACUCCUUGAAUUUCCCGUUGAACUACUUGUAAUAUUAGGGAUGUUCGAGAUAUCUCGUACACCUAGUAGGACGCCAAUGCCAUAUCCUAGAUAUGGUCUUACAUGGGAUCACAUAUCGGUGCCGAUGCCAUGUCCCAGACAUGGUCUUACACUGGCACUCAUCUCGAGCCGAUGCCAUGUCCCAAACAUGGUCUUACACUGACUCUCUUCUGUCCGUGCCGAUGCCAUGUCCCAGACAUGGUCUUACACUAGCACUCCACGGUCUGUGCUGAUGCCAUGUCCCAGACAUGGUCUUACACUGGCACACUCACUGCCAUGGUCCAACCAUGGUCUUUUCCGUCAAUUCAUCACGAGUUGUAGUACGAAUGUACUUGACCCUGUAUUUCUCACGAUUGAUCAUUUAAUCUAAUCUCGUACUUGCAUAAAGUCAUGAUUAGAUAACAAAUAUAUAUAAAAAAUAAGACAUCAUCUCAAUUCAAAUUUAAUAAUCGAUCACUUAGACUAACCAUAUGAACUUACCUCAACACGAAUCGAUCAUUUUGAUUGAUAUUUCCCCGUACUUGGUCCAAAUCUUGAUUUCUUUGAUCUAAAAUGUCACAUUUCACUUAAUUAUCACUCACAUUACUUAUUUUAAUACAAAAAUCAUACUACGACAUAUUUACAAUUUUACCCCUAAACUUUCUCAUAAUUACAAUUUUGCCCCUAGGCUCGUAAUAUGAUUUUUAUUCAAUUUCCAUAACAUUCAAGGUCAGCUGAACCUUUUACUCUUCUAAAACAACCUCAAAUUCUUAUUAUUUCACACUUUUAGGAGCAUUUACAACUUUUACUAAUUAACCCGUUUUAACCAUUUUCAACGAAAAUCACUUAGCAAAAAUCGUUCUCCUAACCUCGUGCACCCUUAUUCUACCAUUAAACAUCAAAAUGCACAAAUAUCUAGCAUGGGUCAAUUUUUAAACUUCAUUUUUCAUGUAAAUAAAUGGUAAAAAUGGAAAGAUUAAGCUUCUAGGAUCUCAAAAAUACGAAGAACAUUAAAAAUGGGGCUCAAAUGCACUUACAAUUGAACUUUGAAAAAGCUUGAAACCCUAGCCAUGGCUUUUUGAAAACUUCGGCAGCAUGGAGAAGAGAAUGAGC
Molecule: long non-coding RNA, 2888 nt
Filed under: Gossypium raimondii (Peruvian cotton)
Lineage: Eukaryota; Viridiplantae; Streptophyta; Magnoliopsida; Malvales; Malvaceae
Description: long non-coding RNA (GRAI_LNC005243)
Source: RNAcentral